RNAcentral lists this ribosomal RNA (465 nucleotides) under uncultured bacterium. Its description in RNAcentral is "partial 16S ribosomal RNA". It matches the Rfam family "Bacterial small subunit ribosomal RNA", at positions 338 to 795 of the family's 1533-position model. The record is from RNAcentral.
CCUACGUGAGGCAGCAGUGGGGAAUAUUGCGCAAUGGGCGAAAGCCUGACGCAGCGACGCCGCGUGAGGGAUGAAGGUCUUCGGAUCGUAAACCUCUGUCAGCAGGGAAGUACGGUCACUGUGCUAAUCAGCAGUGAAUUGACGGUACCUGCAAAGGAAGCACCGGCUAACUCCGUGCCAGCAGCCGCGGUAAUACGGAGGGUGCGAGCGUUAAUCGGAAUUACUGGGCGUAAAGCGUUCGUAGGCGGUAUGUCAAGUCAAGGGUGAAAUCCCCGCGCUCAACGUGGGAACUGCCUUUGAAACUGGCAAACUGGAGUGUGUGAGAGGAUAGUGGAAUGCCAGGUGUAGGAGUGAAAUCCGUAGAUAUCUGGAGGAACAUCAGUGGCGAAGGCGACUAUCUGGCACAUAACUGACGCUGAGGAGCGAAAGCGUGGGUAGCAAACAGGAUUAGAUACCCUUGUAGUC